RNAcentral lists this ribosomal RNA (466 nucleotides) under uncultured bacterium. Its description in RNAcentral is "partial 16S ribosomal RNA". It matches the Rfam family "Bacterial small subunit ribosomal RNA", at positions 28 to 523 of the family's 1533-position model. The record is from RNAcentral.
GAUGAACGCUGGCGGCGUGCCUAACACAUGCAAGUCGAGCGAACCCUUCGGGGUGAGCGGCGGACGGGUGAGUAACGCGUGGGUAACCUGCCCUGUACACACGGAUCACAUACCGAAAGGUAUGCUAAUACGAGAUAAUAUAUUUUAAUCGCAUGGUUAAGAUAUCAAAGCUCCGGCGGUACAGGAUGGACCCACGUCUGAUUAGCUAGUUGGUGAGGUAAUGGCUAACCAAGGCGACGAUCAGUAGCCGACCUGAGAGGGUGAUCGGCCACACUGGAACUGAGACACGGGCCAGACUCCUACGGGGGGCAGCAGUGGGGAAUAUUGCACAAUGGGCGAAAGCCUGAUGCAGCAACGCCGCGUGAGCGAUGAAGGCCUUCGGGUCGUAAAGCUCUGUCCUCAAGGAAGAUAAUGACGGUACUUGAGGAGGAAGCCCCGGCUAACUACGUGCCAGCCGCCGCGGUAA